UAACCCCUCAGGAGAAGAGAAAGUAAGUUCCCCAGGUCUCCGUGAGAGCAGGGAGACGGUGUCAUCCCCUCGUCCUUCAUGGGGGGGUGUGAUGACUAAGGAUGCUUGGCUGUUGACCCUGCCACACCCUCCUCAUUGACUGCCAUGUCUGUGGCCCUCGAUGGCAUUGCCAGACCUGGAAUGCCCCUUCACUGAGGAAGACACCCAGCCACAGUUCUGCCCCGUCCACUCCCGAUCACCAGAGGCCAGUGGAUCGCACAGCCUCUAACUGUUACUCUGACCCAUCUGCCCAGGGGAUGUCCGUGUCGCUGUUCCACAGACUUGGAGACAUCUGUGCCAGCCCCCAGGUGGAGCGGAACUGAUUCUAGUUGACUCAGCAGUGCCAGACACUAGCACCCACAAUUAUUCAUUGAGAAAGAAUCGAAGAAGAAAGCUCCUCUGAAAAAGAAUGGGAUGGAACAAGAGAAGGGUGGAAGAGAACCCCUUACCCCUUGAAGAAGCUUCUCGCCAUGCAGAGACCUCCUAUGGCCACUUGGCGCCAACCCAGAAGGAAAUCAUCACAAUCAGUCUCCAUGGGGCUGUCAACCUGCCCUCUCGCAAGACUGGCUCCAAACCCUUGGCCUUUGUGGUAGCGAAAACCACCUCACAGGAGGAAAAACACCAGGAGUCUACCGCCGUUACCUCAACUACCUGGGAGCCCACCAGAAGUCCCACCUGGGAAACAACAGUCAAGUUGGAGAUCCAAACUGCAGACGUGGGUCGUGAAGAGGCAAUCCUGAAUGUGCUUGACAGCAGAACCAAAGAAUUGCUAGUUUCCUACCGGAUACCCAUUAAGUACCUUCGCCCUUUCCACACCUACCAUUUUGAGCUGAUGAUGGCUCACAAGAGUGGUUUAGCCAAAUUGUAUGCUUCAGUUACUCGGGAGAGCAGUUUCAUGCCCCGAUACAUUGGAUGCACUCACACAGCCUUAGAGGUCUUUCUUCGGGGAAUCAAUGAACCCCUCGCCAACCCCUUUGGCCCUAUCAUGGUGGUUGCCCGUGUCAUUCCCAACUACAAGGAGUUCAAGGAGACAAAGUUGAACAAAGAGCCUUUAUCUUUGGGGCUGCCUAUAAAAACUGUCAACUUUCCGAGCCCCUCAGUGCUGGCUUUUGAUGUUCCUCGGACCAACAAGCAGGGAUACCCUCAGGUAUCUAAGCCUGGUGGGCCUGCUAGACAGCCCGAAUGGAAUACCUCCUUCCUCUAUCAAGCCCGGAAUGGGUGUACACAGUUCAAUGAAGAUCUGGCCCUGGUGCUGGAAUAUUAUCCCAUGAUUCCAAUGCCCAAGAAAGAAUCUUGGAACCUCAUAGAACCCUUGGGCAUCUCUGUGUUGCCGCUCAACAAUCGAGUUUACCGAAAAAUGAUGUCAGGAGCACCGACUGCACUUCAUGUGAAAAAGCUUCCUAUAUUGAAAACUAAGCUGAAAGCGCUUUCGGGUGGAACACUUACUGUUAACCUUUCUUUCCAAGUGCUUUCCUCAGAGAGGCCAGACAACUUUAUGACUCCUAACAAUUGUGCAGACGUUCCUGUCCUGAAUCCUACACUCUUAGAUGCAGAACUUGGCAACAUCCGUGAAUCGUGGUCCAAGGGCCAUGUAAGCCCAGAUGUGGAGUCAGGGUCUGAGCCAUUUCCUGAUCCUGAUCCAGAUUCAGAACCAGAGCCAGAGCCAGAGGAAGAACCACAUGUAGAGUCAGAACCAGAGCUAGAACUAGUGACAGAGCUAGACCCAACGCCCAAGCCAAAAAUCUUUGUGGACAAGUGCCUUUCUAUACCAUCACUGACUGAAGUAAAACCUCUGGAGCCUCUUCAAGAAACACUGGAAGAGUUCAACCCACGCUGGUCACAUCAGAAGGUUAUACACAAGAUCCAAUCAAGUUCCCAGUUCUCCAAGGUGGGGUCCCGAGAAUCGAUACAUGAUUUCUCCACUGUGCCCCAAGAGAAGUUUCAGCUGUAUAGCAGUCUUUAUUACUCGGAAUCCACAGACAGCCGAGACCACCAGUAUCAGGUGGAGAAGAAGCCUAAACAAUCAGAUGCAUCAUUAAAUACCUGGAAGGAAACGGACAACUAUCAGAAAGCCAUAACAAAGAUGGCCAAUGACAUCCUGUCUCUGCGAAGGCAAGUGACCUCCCUGGAGACAGAAAACAAUUGCCUUCGGCAACAAGUGUCCACACAGGAACGGAUGGGUCAUGCUUCUGUGGAAGAUGAAGAGAUGAUAGCAAACAUGAAGCAAAAACUUUCCCAGAGCACCACAGAAACGAGAAGGUUGAAGGACAGGAUACAGCAGCUGCAGAAUGAGUUAAUUCGGAAGAAUGAUCGGGAAAAGGACUUAUUACUAAUACAACAGUCUCACAAUCAACAGCAGCAUAAUCUGAGAAGGUAUCAGGACAAACUGCAGAAGAUGAAAGGUCUGGAGCAAACUGUGAGGAGUCAGGAGAAGGUGAUUCAAAGAAUGGAGAAGAUCUUGGAGGAGAAAGUAUUUCAGCCAUCCACAGAAAGAUCUGAUAUAGUGACAUCAACCCUGGGACGACCUCUUGGGAGGCACACGGGACUUCCUUUCCGGCACUUCAGACAAGCUCAAUCUUAUGGCCAAAUUGGAGAGCGCUCAAGGUCAUAUACGGAUUUUGGAGAACGAGUUGGAAAAUUCGGCUCGACACUGGGAACAAGAAAAGCAAGGCCUGAUGUCGAAGCUGGUGGAGCAAGGCCGUGGCUCUACACCUGGCUCCAAUCCUAUGUUGAUGGAUGCCCAAAUGAGUGGCCUCCCGAGCCUGGGGACUGGAGCGAAGAACAUGGAGAUGAGGAACCAGAGCUCCAAGGAGUGGAAGUGACAAACUCGGGAUUGUCAAAGAAAGGAGUUCUACGGGCCAUACGACUUUCAAAGAGCCGCAAAAACAGGAUCCGUUACCGCUCCAUCCAGAACUUGAGCCGUAAAUGUCACCGAAGAUAGAAGAGAAACCGGCAGGAGCACAGAACAGGCAUCCUUCUCCUGGAACCAGGCCCCUAACAACUUUAUUAAUUGCAUAGAGCUUGCUGGGGCUUGAAGGGCCGGAAGGUGAACACGAUGGGCUUGUCAGGCAUCAAGAUGAGAUUAAAGGUGGUCCCCACAUCUGAAAGCUUCUGGACUUCGACCCUGAAAUUCUCCAGAAUCUGCGAAGAAGAAAGAACUAGGCUAAAUAAUAAAGGUGGGAGACUCCAAUGCAAAGUUCCAAAAAGGAAACUGCCUUGGAGUGACGAGAUGCUCGAGGAAGGUUCUUCACUCACACGAUGUCUUGCGCUGAUGCCCCAAAUACUACCAUCGUGUAAUUCUUCAGUCCCUCCUGAAUGGUUUCUAUAAUGCAAUACCCAUGGAGAAAGCUUGUUCUAUGGGAAUGGAUAAUACUUGAGAGGCACUAAAAGUGGAAAAAGGAUUGCUGGGGGUCCCAUAUAAAUGAGCUUGGAAGAGUC
Sarcophilus harrisii (Tasmanian devil) is the source of this 3477-nucleotide RNA transcript. It is a transcript of the gene named coiled-coil domain containing 33, with no coding region annotated. The record is from RefSeq and is a predicted model, not a curated record. Lineage: Eukaryota; Metazoa; Chordata; Mammalia; Dasyuromorphia; Dasyuridae. The transcript has 22 exons.